GGUUUACAUAUAUAUGCACACAACCUUUUAUUAUUUACUUUAUAUUUGCUAGUUAGGGAGAUGUAACUAAUCCCAUACUGCUUUAAACUAAUUUAACACCAGUGCACAGAGGGGUGUAGCAGCCAAGGUGCAGAGUGACAGUGGGAGCAGCAGUUGUUUUUCAGCCCAGGGGCUGGCACAGCCCAGAGGUUUGUGUGCUUAACACAUUGUAAUGCAGCUGUAGACAAGAAUAGGCUACUACUUCAGAGGAUUGAUAUAUUCCUACUAGGAAUAUGCUGCAAAAUGUAAGCCAGAGAUGCCCUGAAACCUUUCUGCUCACGGGUUCAUUUCCUUUAGAGUUUCUCUCCUCCUGGCUGUCCUCCUCUCUGUAAGAAGGCCUUGCCUUACUUGACUAAACAUAGAUUAAAUUACUUGGUGCUAAUAUAUUUGCUGGAGAUAGCUUUUACUGGAAAGCAAGACAGUCCUGCAUUUAGAAAGUUAUACUCUAUAUAAACAAAUGCCAUUUGUAUAGACGGUGUAAUAUGUUCCAGCUUUAUUUGAUCUAAGCAAGAGGUGCCAAGGAUACGUCCAGUAUUUUUUUAAAGCUGGCAGUUGAGAUAGAAGGGAAAAUUAUUUUCAUCUGUUUGAUCCUGGUUCCUAUUUACAGAGAAAUGACAAUUAUUUUAAGGAGAAUUAAUUAUGAGCCAGUCGCAGAACUCAGUUCAGUGCAGCUGGUUGGCAACGAUUAACUCAAAUAUUGUAAUUAUUGCAAGUUUGGAAAGAGAGCUGAAAUAAUCCAGAUGGUUUAGCCUGAUUAAACUGAUACAAAAGUCACCAGACGUAGUGUUAAUCCUCUUCUUCUGCUGGGUGCAACAGUCCAUACAGACCUGUGAUAGCAGGGAACAGGUGCUAGUUAAAGUGGCUGAGAGCUGUCCCAUAAAGACAUCCAACUGGUCAGAAUUCUGAAGAACUGAGUUGAUGGUGAUGAGAAGGCUUUGAAAAAUGUUACGUCUUCAUAUGAUCAGAAAAAUCUGGCAGAAUACCAUAGAGUAUCCAUGGCGGCACUCCCUCAAAGAUACACAUACAGCAGCGUUGAUCAACUGAAAGAUAUGGCAGCCAGCCAGCCGUGUGAGUGCUGAUCAGUCAGCGUGUGAUGCUCUGAGCUGAACUUGGCACCCGGGGCCCAUGGGGAUGUGGCAAAGAGGAGGAGAAGCAGCAGCUGGAUGCCUGCACUGCAUGUGAUCCAUGCAGAAGUAGGAGCCUUCAAGUUUUCUGCCUGUUGUGCAGCCAUAUGCAGUACUAUAGGUAAAUAGGAAGGUUUGCAGUAUAUACACAUGUAAUUACUUUUGUGAUAUCUGGUCAUAACUGUAGUUUUUUUUAAGUAAGCUCAUUGAAGCCAAGAAACCCAACAGGUUAUGCUUAUCAGGACUUAUUUGAUACUAUUGCAGAGAGGAAGAGAGUCUCUGAAAUUGAGUGAGAGAGUCUCCAGGUGAUGACGGAGAAUUUCCAGGAGAAUGUACUAGCUGAAAGGGAGAAUCUCCGGGUCCAGAAAGAGAGUCUUCUAGCUAAGAAACAGCAUCUCCA
Molecule: long non-coding RNA, 1563 nt
Filed under: Coturnix japonica (Japanese quail)
Lineage: Eukaryota; Metazoa; Chordata; Aves; Galliformes; Phasianidae
Description: lncRNA (ENSCJPG00005000661.1)
Source: RNAcentral